This 286-nucleotide unclassified non-coding RNA is filed under the name Hevea brasiliensis (rubber tree). The record is from RNAcentral. Lineage: Eukaryota; Viridiplantae; Streptophyta; Magnoliopsida; Malpighiales; Euphorbiaceae.
CAGCUCUUUUUGUUCCAUCAGGCACCAUGGGUAACCUUGUUAGUGUGCUUGUGCAUUGUGACGUUAGGGGAAGUGAAGUAAUUCUUGGACACAAUUCUCACAUCCACAUAUAUGAGAAUGGAGGCAUUUCAACUCUUGGAGGUGUGCAUCCAAGGACAGUGCCGAAUAACAAGGAUGGAACGAUGGAUAUCAAUUUAAUUGAAGCUGCAAUUAGAGAUCCAAGAGGGGGACUUGUGUAUCCAACUACUAGGCUUAUCUGCCUGGAGAAUUCACAAGCCAACUGUGG